GAUGAACGCUGGCGGCGUGCUUAACACAUGCAAGUCGAACGGUGAAGGCGGAGCUUGCUCUGCUGGAUCAGUGGCGAACGGGUGAGUAACACGUGAGCAAUCUGCCCCUGACUCUGGGAUAAGCGCUGGAAACGGCGUCUAAUACUGGAUACGAGCUGCGAAGGCAUCUUCAGCAGCUGGAAAGAAUUUCGGUCAGGAAUGAGCUCGCGGCCUAUCAGCUUGUUGGUGAGGUAAUGGCUCACCAAGGCGUCGACGGGUAGCCGGCCUGAGAGGGUGACCGGCCACACUGGGACUGAGACACGGCCCAGACUCCUACGGGAGGCAGCAGUGGGGAAUAUUGCACAAUGGGCGAAAGCCUGAUGCAGCAACGCCGCGUGAGGGACGACGGCCUUCGGGUUGUAAACCUCUUUUAGCAGGGAAGAAGCGAAAGUGACGGUACCUGCAGAAAAAGCGCCGGCUAACUACGUG
RNAcentral lists this ribosomal RNA (468 nucleotides) under uncultured bacterium. Its description in RNAcentral is "partial 16S ribosomal RNA". It matches the Rfam family "Bacterial small subunit ribosomal RNA", at positions 28 to 507 of the family's 1533-position model. The record is from RNAcentral.